Molecule: long non-coding RNA, 1535 nt
Organism: Monodelphis domestica (gray short-tailed opossum)
Lineage: Eukaryota; Metazoa; Chordata; Mammalia; Didelphimorphia; Didelphidae
Source: RefSeq, a predicted model, not a curated record
UGGGUACCAGAGCCUCCUCCUGACACACGUACAUCUCAUUAGGAGACGGGGAACCUCAGCGACAUCCUAGACCUCAGAGGAGACAGCUGUGAGAUUCCCAGAAAGCGGGAGGCUGGGAGGCUGGGAAGGUGUAGGGAGGCCGAGACCACUCACACAAGCUCCCAUCCAUCCACACGUGUGCUUGCCAGAUGACGCAGAGCCCCAGGGUGCUGGGCUGGGAGAGGAGACCCAGACAAGUAGCUCCCCAUCCACUGUCCCUCCCUGCCCAUCCCAGUCUCUACCCUUCCACCAGGGACCUUGUAGUGUCUGGAAGUCAGAAUUCCAAUAGAAAAUGGGGGUGUACUCAUUGAGGGCAGCUUGAGGUUCCUAUGGGGUCUUGACCUCCAUUCUAGAAUGUGCCCAAGUGUCUUAAGGGCUUAGAGAUCCUCAGACUAAAUCAGAGUGGCGCCAGACGAGAAGGAGAGUAACUGGAUCUGGAAAGCACCGAAGAGCUCCUGCGCCAAGACCUCCAGGGAAGGGGAAGCCUGGAACCCCCCACUCUCCCAGCCGCACCUCCACAGACCUGGCUUCUUUCCAGCUUCCCUCUGCUGCUCCCAGUUCUGCACCCUGGAGCCAAGCACAAAAUCCCUCUUCCCUCGGAGAGCUGGUUGGAUUAAAUUGGGCAUAUUCCAAGAGACUGGCCUGGCUGGCUCUCAAUUCACUGAAUCACGCAGCUGCCCCCUGACCAAACUCUUUUGAGUGAUUAUGGAUCUCAUUUGAGAGGUCAUCUGGAGUUUGAUAUGAUCUGCCUCAAAUCACUGGCACACAGGACUAUCCGGAAGACAUCCCACUGCUUCCAGCCUCAAGAGGGAAGAUGUGUCAUUACAGAUUUCCUGGAGGGAGAGAAAAGCUCUAAGAAGAAGCCAAUGUGCUGAGGGACCAGCUCUUCAAUCCUCAUGAUAUGCGUGGAACUGUGGCUAUGAGAACUGAUGAAUGGGAGGGUUUGGGAGAAACCUGGAAGACUUGUGUGAACUGAUACAAAGUGACGUGAGCAGAACCAGGGGAACAACUUAUACACUGACAGAAAUGUUUUAAAGAUAAGCAACUUUGAAAGUCUUAAGCAAUCCAAUCAAUUUAAAGAUCCACCAAGACUCCAGAUGCAUGAUGAAACAUGCUACCUGCCUCCUGGCAGAGAGGGGAUGGACUCAGGAUGCAGAUGAAGACAUAGAUUUGGAUCUGGUCAAUAAGAUGAUUUAUUUUUCUCAGCAAUAAAUAUUUGUGACAUAUUUGUUUUUCUCUCUUUUAUCCUGGGGGCAGGAGAAGGAAGAGAACAUGGAUUUCCAUUCAUGAAAAAAUUUUUUUUAUUUUUAAAAAGAAAAACCAAAGGAACUGGGGAGAGACAGAGAAACAGUGGCAGGGACACAGAGAGAGGAAGCGACAGAGAGGAAGAAAGAGAGAAGGAAAAAAUGAGAGGAAGAGAAACAAAGGGAGGGGGACAGAGGAGGGGAAGAGAGAGAGGCAGAAAAAGAGUGACAGAGUCACAGGGAGAGCAGAAA